UACGGGGGGGGCAAGCGUUGUUCGGAAUUACUGGGCGUAAAGGGCUCGUAGGCGGCCAACUAAGUCGGAUGUGAAAUCCCCAGGCUUAACCUGGGAACUGCAUCCGAUACUGGAUGGCUUGAAUCCGGGAGAGGGAUGCGGAAUUCCAGGUGUAGCGGUGAAAUGCGUAGAUAUCUGGAGGAACACCGGUGGCGAAGGCGGCAUCCGGGACCGGCAUUGACGCUGAGGAGCGAAAGCCAGGGGAGCAAACGGG
This 253-nucleotide ribosomal RNA is filed under the name uncultured bacterium. RNAcentral describes it as "partial 16S ribosomal RNA". It matches the Rfam family "Bacterial small subunit ribosomal RNA", at positions 524 to 776 of the family's 1533-position model. The record is from RNAcentral.